Molecule: long non-coding RNA, 2755 nt
Organism: Mytilus californianus (California mussel)
Lineage: Eukaryota; Metazoa; Mollusca; Bivalvia; Mytilida; Mytilidae
Exons: 2
Source: RefSeq, a predicted model, not a curated record
UCCUUGGAUUUAUUACCCCCAAACUCAAUCCCAGCCUUCCCUUUGUGGUAUGGAACCUUGUAGUACAAUUUUAGAGAGAUCCAUACACUUACACACAAGUUACUGUCUGGAAACUAGAAAAAACGCAAUGAAGUUUAUUUAACUAAAGUUAUUGGCAAAUUUCCAAUGGAAUUUAUUAAUAAUAAAGUUUUUGGCAAAUUUCCAAUAUACAUAAUUUAAAAGCAGUUUAGGUGAGAUAUUCAAAUGAGUUUCAAUUACCAACCUUACACUGCCUUUUAAAUUAUGUUUUGUACUUAAGUAAUUGUCCAUUAACCUGGAAACCCUUUUCCCCCCUUUUUUGCACCUUAUUCCUUAACGGUUUGAGCCAUAACUUCCAAAGACAAUUCUUACCAUCCCUUUGUGGUAUUCCAAUAUCCAAAAUCUAAAUACAUGGUUAGAUUCAGCAUAUCAAAGAACCCCAAGAAUUCAAUUUUUGAUGAAAUCAAAUAAAGUUCAAUUUUGGAACCUUUAAACCUCAAUGUGGACCAAUUUAAUAACCGGGCCCAAAUAUCAAAAAUCUAAAUACAUGGUUAGAUUCAGCAUAUCGAAGAACCCCAUAUAUUCAAUUUUUGUUGAAAUCAAACAAAGUUUAAUUUUGGACCCCGAUUUGGACCAACUUGAAAACUGGGCCCAUAAUAAAAAAACUAAGUACAUGUUUAGAUUCAGCAUAUCAAAGAACCCCAAGAAUUCAAUUUUUGUUAAAAUCAAACUAAGUUUAAUUUUGGACCCUUUGGACCUUAAUGUAGACCAAUUUGAAAACAGGACCAAAAAUUAAGAAUCUAAAUACACGGUUAGAUUCGGCAUAUCAAAGAGCCCCAAUAGUUCAAUUUUUGAUGAAAUCAAACAAAGUUUAAUUUUGGACCCUUUUGGCCCCUAAUUCCUAAACUGUUGGGACCAAAACUCCCAAAAUCAAUCCCAACCUUCCUUUUGUGGUCAUAAACCUUGUGUUUAAAUUUCAUAGAUUUCUAUUUACUUAUACUAAAGUUAUUGUGCAAAAACCAAGAAAAAUGCUUAUUUGGGCCCUUUUUUAGCCCCUAAUUCCUAAACUGUUGGGACCAAAACUCCCAAAAUCAAUCCUAACCUUCCUUUUGUGGUCAUAAACCUUGUGUUAAAAUUUCAUAGAUUUCUAUUUACUUAUACUAGAGUUAUUGUGCGAAAACCAAGAAAAAUGCUUAUUGGGCCCUUUUUUGGCCCCUAAUUCUUAAACUGUUGAGACCAAAACUCCCAAAAUCAAUCCCAACCUUCCUUUUGUGGUCAUAAACCUUGUGUUUAAAUUUCAUAGAUUUCUAUUAACUUAUACUAAAGUUAUAGUGCGAAAACCAAAUGUCUUCGGACGACGACGACGCCAUUGUCAUACCAAUAUACGACCGCAAAAUUUUUGCGGUCGUAUAAAAAAUUAUAAUAAUUCUUACGGUAAACUUCUAUACAAUAAGAUCCAGCCUUUCUGGUUAAAAAUACAUGUAAACUUGUUCUACUUAACUAAAAAAUUCCCACAGUCUAGUAUCAGAACUGGAGUUUUUGAGGUUGUAUGGUCUGUUGUUUGACUGUUAUGGUUGGACUUAACCAACAGCACACCUUACGGACUUAGGGUGAUGAGUAAGGGCCUGAAAACAGUUAUAACAAACACAGUGAAGUAGGUUUUAGAACUUGUAUCUUCAAAAGCGCAUGAGAAAGUCAUAUAAUUAAUAACAAUAUAAUAGUAUAUAAGGCAAAUAAUAGAAACAUAUAAUUCAUAUGAUUUUACAAUAUAAUUGAUCAAUUAAUAUCUUUGGUAUACAAACUUUACGUUAAUGCAUGAGCAUAUGCAUUUUAACUGACGAACACGGAUGCUUAUAAUAUUUCUUAUAAAUAAAAGCUUAUUUAACAUUCAAAUAUAUAAGCAAGAUGCGGACUAAAUCUUAAAUGUAUGAGCAUAAUGCGAGACCUAAUAUUUGAACCUAACGGAGCAUAAAGCAUGUGCUGAACAGCAUAAAGUAUUGAAUGCAUAAUAUCUUAACAAUGGACAUGAAUAAACAUGUUGAAUUCUUUUAUCUUUCGAAUUAUAAUCAUGGUAGAGCAUAUAUUGCGCUUGUAAAACCUUAAACUAUUUAAAAACCUAUUAACCCAAAAAUUAUCAAUUCCGACGAUGAGCAUUGGUUGAGAAAUAUUCGAAAUCGAGACAAACUUAGCAUUACGAAACUAAUCGUGAAUAUUCAAAUAAUAUAAAUAUUAAACAAUAUAAUAUGAAAUGGGGAAACUAGCUUUUAAAAUAUAUAUGCUUGCUUUGUAUCAAAAAUUCAUGACUCGUAAUAAUAUAGGGCUAAACAACAAGAAUAGUUUACGAUAAAUAAUUUCUUAUUAAAUUAGCCUACACAUGUGGAAAUUACGCAUAAAGCGUUUAUUAAAAUAAUUGACAUCUUACCCUUGCAGAACUGACCUUAAUUCUUAUUAAGUAUAAACAAGCGAUAAGUUAAAAUUAUCAUUUCCAACAUGCAGGGUAAAACUAAAUUCUAUAAUGCGUUUAAAAAUACCCUUGAGUACAGAAAGUUUGUGAAGAAUAAACCAACCUUUUUUUUGAACAUAUAUACAUCUAUUUACACUGAUCGAGAAACAACAAUUUGAUCUUAACUUCUUUACUUGCAGAACUCAUAGAUAUUUAACUUCAACUUUACUAAAUGAAAUGGAAACGAAACUUUACGAAGUUUCAGGAUUCAAUUGAAUAAAAUAAUGAAAGAAA